RNAcentral lists this transfer RNA (77 nucleotides) under Candidatus Omnitrophota bacterium. RNAcentral's name for it is "tRNA-Val". It matches the Rfam family "tRNA". From Rfam's summary of the family: Transfer RNA (tRNA) molecules are approximately 80 nucleotides in length. Their secondary structure includes four short double-helical elements and three loops (D, anti-codon, and T loops). Further hydrogen bonds mediate the characteristic L-shaped molecular structure. tRNAs have two regions of fundamental functional importance: the anti-codon, which is responsible for specific mRNA codon recognition, and the 3' end, to which the tRNAs corresponding amino acid is attached (by aminoacyl-tRNA synthetases). tRNAs cope with the degeneracy of the genetic code in two manners: having more than one tRNA (with a specific anti-codon) for a particular amino acid; and 'wobble' base-pairing, i.e. permitting non-standard base-pairing at the 3rd anti-codon position. The record is from RNAcentral. Lineage: Bacteria; Pseudomonadati; Candidatus Omnitrophota.
GGGCGGUUAGUUCAGUUGGUUAGAACGUCUCUCUUACACAGAGAAGGUCGGGGGUUCGAGUCCUCUACCGCCCACCA